This 138-nucleotide ribosomal RNA is filed under the name uncultured bacterium. Its description in RNAcentral is "partial 16S ribosomal RNA". It matches the Rfam family "Bacterial small subunit ribosomal RNA", at positions 355 to 509 of the family's 1533-position model. The record is from RNAcentral.
UAGGGAAUCUUUCACAAUGGGCGAAAGCCUGAUGGAGCAACGCCGCGUGCAGGAUGAAGGCCUUCGGGUUGUAAACUGCUUUUAUUAAGCGAGAAAUAUGAUGGUAACUUAUGAAUAAGGAUCGGCUAACUACGUGCC